Molecule: long non-coding RNA, 443 nt
Organism: Helianthus annuus (common sunflower)
Lineage: Eukaryota; Viridiplantae; Streptophyta; Magnoliopsida; Asterales; Asteraceae
Exons: 2
Source: RefSeq, a predicted model, not a curated record
ACAUCUUCCAUAAACUUCACAAACCCUAAUUUCUUCACCAUGAACAAUGAAUUUGUGUGUGCAUGUAGGUCUACAACAACCAUACACACCUCAAGGAGUGUAAAAAUCCAAGGAGGCGAUUCCAUUGUUAUGCAAGAGAGGGAACUAACUGUGGAUUUGUAAGUUGAGCGGAACCUCCACUCUGUGUACGAGCAACUGAAAUUAUACCCGGAUUACUAAGAUCCAUCAACAAUCAUGAAGAAAAGGGACAUCUAAGUGAAAAGGUUGAAGAUUGUGUUAGGGCUUAGUUAGCUUUUUUUUUUUUUUUUUAAUGUAUGUUUUGAUGGCAUGAAAGUGGUUGCCAUUUUAUCCUAAUCCCUUUUUGGCAAAAAUAUUGUAAUGGUCAAUCUGGAAGUAUUUUGUACUACAUAAUAAGCAUAACGAUAAUGACCUAUUUUAAUUUA